GAUGAACGCUGGCGGCGUGCCUAAUACAUGCAAGUCGAGCGAACAGACGAGGAGCUUGCUCCUCUGACGUUAGCGGCGGACGGGUGAGUAACACGUGGAUAACCUACCUAUAAGACUGGGAUAACUUCGGGAAACCGGAGCUAAUACCGGAUAAUAUAUUGAACCGCAUGGUUCAAUAGUGAAAGACGGUUUUGCUGUAACUUAUAGAUGGAUCCGCGCCGCAUUAGCUAGUUGGUAAGGUAACGGCUUACCAAGGCGACGAUGCGUAGCCGACCUGAGAGGGUGAUCGGCCACACUGGAACUGAGACACGGUCCAGACUCCUACGAGAGGCAGCAGUAGGGAAUCUUCCGCAAUGGGCGAAAGCCUGACGGAGCAACGCCGCGUGAGUGAUGAAGGUCUUCGGAUCGUAAAACUCUGUUAUUAGGGAAGAACAAAUGUGUAAGUAACUAUGCACGUCUUGACGGUACCUAAUCAGAAAGCCACGGCUAACUACGUG
RNAcentral lists this ribosomal RNA (497 nucleotides) under uncultured bacterium. RNAcentral describes it as "partial 16S ribosomal RNA". It matches the Rfam family "Bacterial small subunit ribosomal RNA", at positions 28 to 507 of the family's 1533-position model. The record is from RNAcentral.